AUUGAACGCUGGCGGCAGGCCUAACACAUGCAAGUCGAGCGGAUGAAGGGAGCUUGCUCCUGGAUUCAGCGGCGGACGGGUGAGUAAUGCCUAGGAAUCUGCCUGGUAGUGGGGGAUAACGUCCGGAAACGGGCGCUAAUACCGCCUACGUCCUGAGGGAGAAAGUGGGGGAUCUUCGGACCUCACGCUAUCAGAUGAGCCUAGGUCGGAUUAGCUAGUUGGUGGGGUAAAGGCCUACCAAGGCGACGAUCCGUAACUGGUCUGAGAGGAUGAUCAGUCACACUGGAACUGAGACACGGUCCAGACUCCUACGGGAGGCAGCAGUGGGGAAUAUUGGACAAUGGGCGAAAGCCUGAUCCAGCCAUGCCGCGUGUGUGAAGAAGGUCUUCGGAUUGUAAAGCACUUUAAGUUGGGAGGAAGGGCAAUAAGUUAAUACCUUGCUGUUUUGACGUUACCAACAGAAUAAGCACCGGCUAACUUCGUG
Molecule: ribosomal RNA, 484 nt
Filed under: uncultured bacterium
Lineage: Bacteria
Description: partial 16S ribosomal RNA
Rfam family: Bacterial small subunit ribosomal RNA
Source: RNAcentral